Molecule: transfer RNA, 76 nt
Filed under: Candidatus Syntrophonatronum acetioxidans
Lineage: Bacteria; Bacillati; Bacillota; Clostridia; Eubacteriales; Syntrophomonadaceae
Description: tRNA-Val
Rfam family: tRNA
About the family: Transfer RNA (tRNA) molecules are approximately 80 nucleotides in length. Their secondary structure includes four short double-helical elements and three loops (D, anti-codon, and T loops). Further hydrogen bonds mediate the characteristic L-shaped molecular structure. tRNAs have two regions of fundamental functional importance: the anti-codon, which is responsible for specific mRNA codon recognition, and the 3' end, to which the tRNAs corresponding amino acid is attached (by aminoacyl-tRNA synthetases). tRNAs cope with the degeneracy of the genetic code in two manners: having more than one tRNA (with a specific anti-codon) for a particular amino acid; and 'wobble' base-pairing, i.e. permitting non-standard base-pairing at the 3rd anti-codon position.
Source: RNAcentral
GGGCGAAUAGCUCAGUUGGGAGAGCACCUGCCUUACAAGCAGGGGGUCACAGGUUCGAGUCCUGUUUCGCCCACCA